Molecule: ribosomal RNA, 342 nt
Filed under: Triticum aestivum (bread wheat)
Lineage: Eukaryota; Viridiplantae; Streptophyta; Magnoliopsida; Poales; Poaceae
Description: partial small subunit ribosomal RNA
Source: RNAcentral
AUGAGAUCGCUGGCUGGCUGGCUGGCUGGCUAUAGCUCCGCCCAUCCAUUCCAGUGGGCCGGAGACAGCAUGCACAAAGGCGACGCGAGUAUGCUACUAUGUAGGACCGAGGAUCAAUGUCGCAUGCAGCCACCUUUUGCUGUCCCGCGUGUUGUCGACGCCGACUGUUCGAUCCUGGUGUCCCUAGCUCACUCAGAGCGAGGACUGCCGAGUAAGCUCUAUAUCCGCGACAUGGAUGAGGUGAGGAGUUCUUACCUCAAGACGAAAGAUGUCUUCAUUUUUCAAGUUACCAUCCACAAUCAUGUAGAUCACACAUAUUUUGGUUGUCCUAGCCAAAGCUAA